Molecule: ribosomal RNA, 1463 nt
Filed under: uncultured bacterium
Lineage: Bacteria
Description: bacterial SSU rRNA
Rfam family: Bacterial small subunit ribosomal RNA
Source: RNAcentral
AUUGAACGCUGGCGGCAGGCCUAACACAUGCAAGUCGAACGGUAACAGGAAGCAGCUUGCUGCUUCGCUGACGAGUGGCGGACGGGUGAGUAAUGUCUGGGAAACUGCCUGAUGGAGGGGGAUAACUACUGGAAACGGUAGCUAAUACCGCAUAACGUCGCAAGACCAAAGAGGGGGACCUUCGGGCCUCUUGCCAUCGGAUGUGCCCAGAUGGGAUUAGCUAGUAGGUGGGGUAACGGCUCACCUAGGCGACGAUCCCUAGCUGGUCUGAGAGGAUGACCAGCCACACUGGAACUGAGACACGGUCCAGACUCCUACGGGAGGCAGCAGUGGGGAAUAUUGCACAAUGGGCGCAAGCCUGAUGCAGCCAUGCCGCGUGUAUGAAGAAGGCCUUCGGGUUGUAAAGUACUUUCAGCGGGGAGGAAGGUGUUGAGGUUAAUAACCUCAGCAAUUGACGUUACCCGCAGAAGAAGCACCGGCUAACUCCGUGCCAGCAGCCGCGGUAAUACGGAGGGUGCAAGCGUUAAUCGGAAUUACUGGGCGUAAAGCGCACGCAGGCGGUCUGUCAAGUCGGAUGUGAAAUCCCCGGGCUCAACCUGGGAACUGCAUUCGAAACUGGCAGGCUAGAGUCUUGUAGAGGGGGGUAGAAUUCCAGGUGUAGCGGUGAAAUGCGUAGAGAUCUGGAGGAAUACCGGUGGCGAAGGCGGCCCCCUGGACAAAGACUGACGCUCAGGUGCGAAAGCGUGGGAGCAAACAGGAUUAGAUACCCUGGUAGUCCACGCCGUAAACGAUGUCGACUUGGAGGUUGUGCCCUUGAGGCGUGGCUUCCGGAGCUAACGCGUUAAGUCGACCGCCUGGGGAGUACGGCCGCAAGGUUAAAACUCAAAUGAAUUGACGGGGGCCCGCACAAGCGGUGGAGCAUGUGGUUUAAUUCGAUGCAACGCGAAGAACCUUACCUACUCUUGACAUCCAGAGAACUUAGCAGAGAUGCUUUGGUGCCUUCGGGAACUCUGAGACAGGUGCUGCAUGGCUGUCGUCAGCUCGUGUUGUGAAAUGUUGGGUUAAGUCCCGCAACGAGCGCAACCCUUAUCCUUUGUUGCCAGCGGUCCGGCCGGGAACUCAAAGGAGACUGCCAGUGAUAAACUGGAGGAAGGUGGGGAUGACGUCAAGUCAUCAUGGCCCUUACGAGUAGGGCUACACACGUGCUACAAUGGCGCAUACAAAGAGAAGCGACCUCGCGAGAGCAAGCGGACCUCAUAAAGUGCGUCGUAGUCCGGAUUGGAGUCUGCAACUCGACUCCAUGAAGUCGGAAUCGCUAGUAAUCGUAGAUCAGAAUGCCACGGUGAAUACGUUCCCGGGCCUUGUACACACCGCCCGUCACACCAUGGGAGUGGGUUGCAAAAGAAGUAGGUAGCUUAACCUUCGGGAGGGCGCUUACCACUUUGUGAUUCAUGACUGGGGUG